Molecule: ribosomal RNA, 253 nt
Filed under: uncultured bacterium
Lineage: Bacteria
Description: partial 16S ribosomal RNA
Rfam family: Bacterial small subunit ribosomal RNA
Source: RNAcentral
UACGUAGGGGGCAAGCGUUGUUCGGAUUCAUUGGGCGUAAAGGGUGCGUAGGCGGCGCGGUAAGUCGGGUGUGAAAUCUUGGAGCUUAACUCCGAAACUGCAUUCGAUACUGCGGUGCUUGAGGACUGGAGAGGAGACUGGAAUUCAUGGUGUAGCAGUGAAAUGCGUAGAGAUCAUGAGGAAGACCAGUGGCGAAGGCGGGUCUCUGGACAGUUCCUGACACUGAGACACGAAGGCCAGGGGAGCAAACGGG